AACGAACGCUGGCGGCAGGCCUAACACAUGCAAGUCGAACGCCCUAGCAAUAGGGAGUGGCGCACGGGUGCGUAACGCGUGGGAAUAUGCCCUUGACUGCGGGACAACGUUUGGAAACGAACGCUAAUACCGCAUAAUGACUCCGGUCCAAAGAUUUAUCGGUCAAGGAUUUGCCCGCGUCUGAUUAGCUAGUUGGUGAGGUAACGGCUCACCAUGGCGACGAUCAGUAGCUGGUCUGAGAGGAUGAUCAGCCACACUGGGAUUGAGACACGGCCCAGACUCCUACGGGAGGCAGCAGUGAGGAAUAUUGGACAAUGGGCGCAAGCCUGAUCCAGCCAUGCCGCGUGAGUGACGAAGGCCUUCGGGUUGUAAAGCUCUUUCAGAUGCGAAGAUAAUGACGGUAACAUCAGAAGAAGCCCCGGCUAAAUUCGUGCCAGCCGCCGCGGUAA
This 449-nucleotide ribosomal RNA is filed under the name uncultured bacterium. Its description in RNAcentral is "partial 16S ribosomal RNA". It matches the Rfam family "Bacterial small subunit ribosomal RNA", at positions 29 to 523 of the family's 1533-position model. The record is from RNAcentral.